AUCCUGGCUUUGUCACCAGUUGACUUGGAAACUCCCCUCCCCUCGAAGAUCCUCACUUGCUAAAGGAGGGGUAGGUAGGGCAAGACGCUUUCUUGGAUCCUCUCUUGAGUGACUUUCCAAGGUGACAGACUCCCUUCUGUGCCAUGGAGAAGGAUGCUUGUUUCCUACUCAUUCCUACUACACUUGAUUGGUGCUGCCACGCCCUCGGCUCUGCAGGAUGCAGGAAAUGCUCAAAUCCCAGAAGCAGGAACGCUCAUGCUGGCAAACGCAGACUCGGUGUGGGCUUGGGCAACAGCCUGACGUAAGUGGAUCUGGCAAGGCCGCAAGAGCUUUGGCAGCCGAGCCCCUGGCGCAGAAGCAUCCUCAUCAACACAGUGUUGACGGCGCUCCCGGGCCUCUGGCUCAUCCCUGUUUCUUAGCAACUGCCCUAUUUUGGGGGAACACUGAGUGCCACAGGGAAGCUGGCCUGGAAGCACGUGCAAGACAGGCAGCACCUUCAGUCAACACGCAGCCCCCUGCUCCCAGCAGCCUGGUCCCCUGAUACCAGCUGCCAUCUCCCGGCACAAUGUGACCAGAUUGGAAGACCUCCAUGAGGCGGUUCAGCCACUCCACAGGUCUCUAAGCAGCUUCCAGGACCCAAGCUUGUGAGAGAGGCCCUGGUCAUCCCCUGCGCCCCCAGGCAAUAGCCCAUUGCCAUCUGUUAUGCUUCCAACCAUCUGAAUAGCUGCUAUGGUAGGAAAGAAAGACACUUAACAAAACACACCAGGCCCUCAACACUCACACCCAGGGCCGGGCACAGAGGGCCCCCUCGAUCGAUAAAACACCCCAAAGGGAGUCCAGGUCUUCCCUAACAUUCCAUGACCAACAGAGGUGUUCUAGAAAGUUCUGGGAUAUGAAUGCCUGCUGGAUGUUUGUUCCUUCUCCACUUUGACAACAUCAUUUUAUCUUUGCAAAAUUUAUUUUGGAGGAAUUAAAGAAUUCCACCAGGGCCAGGUUUCUUGGGAGAGGCAGUUGAUCUCAGAUAUGUAUUAUUAAUACUAACAUUUUCUUGUCGUGAUUGCACGCCCAAUUUAAAAUGAAUUAUCCAAUUAAGUUAAGAAGGUGAUGCGUUCUAAUUCCAGGAAUAGGUUGCCAAUGACUUUGUCUUGACUGUUCUCCCCGAAAUCCCUUCCAAUUAAGUAAAGAUUGUUCAGUACAUCGUGAGGCUAAGCCAAGAGGUUGCUGUGGAGACGGGAGGAUUUUUCAUCCUAUCACCAUUUUCCUCUCUUGAUGAGAAGGGAGCCAGCAGAGCUUUCAGCCUCCCCCGGGGUUGAAUGUUCAGUGCCAGCAAGGACAAAAGGUCUGCUGGACAGAAGAGGAUGAGGGGUUGUGAAAGCUUCCAGGUCUCCUUCUGCAACAACAGAGAGAACCCGUGUCUUCAGCUUCUCGUGAGCAAAAGACAGUUGCCCACAUUAUGGGGAUACCAGAGCCCAUCCUUUUUCCCUCUCCACCUCAUGCUGAAGGUGUGAUAGGGCCAACUCGGCCAGCAGAGAGAAAUAGAUUCAUGGUACCUGGCCAGAAAGAUCAAGGCUGUAUGGUUGGGUGUAAAAUGAUCCAUGCCAAGAACAGUAAGAGGAGACACAGAUUUUUAUUUCUAAAAUGGAAAUCUGCUCAUAGCACUCUCUUGCUUUUUUAAGAGACAGAGUUUUGCUCUUUCACUCUGUUGCCGAGGCUGGAGUGCAGUCAUAUAGUAAGAGCUCACUGCAGCCUCUACUUCCUGGGCUCAAGUGAUCCUCCUGCCUCAGCCUCCCCAGUAAGUAGGACUACAGGUGCGCACAACCAUGCCCAGCUAAUUUUUUGUCAUUUUUGCUCAUCUGUUAUUAUUAGUUUUUUGGUUCUUGGGGGCUUUUUUUUGUUUGUUUUUGUAGAAACAAGGCCUCACUAUAUUGCCCAGGCUGGUCUCAAAACUCCUGGGCUCAAGCAAUCUUCUCAUCUUGGCCUCCCAAAGUACUGGGAUUACAGGUGUGAGCAUUCCCCGCCCCCUCCCCCAUCUCCUGUUUUUAACUUUUUUUUUAAUGUAUUUUUAUUUAUUUUUUUUUUUGAGAUGGAGCCUUGCUCAGUUGCCCAGGCUGCAGUGCAGUGAUGUGAUCUCGGCCCACUGCAAUCUCCACCUCCCAGGUUCAAGCAAUUCUCCUGCCUCAGCCUCCCGAGUAGCUGGGAUUUAUAGGCGCACACCACCAUGCCCAGCUAAUUUUUGUAUUUUUAGUAGAGACGGGGUUUUCACCAUGUUGGCCGGAAUGGUCUCGAUCUCCUGACCUCAGGAUCCACCCGCCUCGGCCUCCCAAAGUGCUGGGAUUGCAGGCGUGAGCCACCGCACCCAGCC
This is a long non-coding RNA of Homo sapiens (human), 2362 nucleotides long. The record is from Ensembl. Lineage: Eukaryota; Metazoa; Chordata; Mammalia; Primates; Hominidae.